Molecule: ribosomal RNA, 254 nt
Filed under: uncultured bacterium
Lineage: Bacteria
Description: partial 16S ribosomal RNA
Rfam family: Bacterial small subunit ribosomal RNA
Source: RNAcentral
UACGUAGGGUGCGAGCGUUGUCCGGAAUUAUUGGGCGUAAAGAGCUCGUAGGCGGUGUGUCACGUCGAUCGUGAAAACUUACAGCUUAACUGUGAGCGUGCGGUCGAUACGGGCAUCACUGGAGUUCGGCAGGGGAGACUGGAAUUCCUGGUGUAGCGGUGAAAUGCGCAGAUAUCAGGAGGAACACCGGUGGCGAAGGCGGGUCUCUGGGCAACAACUGACGCUGAGGAGCGAAAGCGUGGGGAGCGAACAGG